This 5149-nucleotide unclassified non-coding RNA is filed under the name Neodiprion lecontei (redheaded pine sawfly). RNAcentral describes it as "ras GTPase-activating protein-binding protein 1, transcript variant X2". Lineage: Eukaryota; Metazoa; Arthropoda; Insecta; Hymenoptera; Diprionidae. The record is from RNAcentral.
CCAGUGCAUGUGCUGACACCACGGUACACUGAGGGUCCUACACCGAACUGUUUUUAUAAUUAACAUUAUUGUAAACUGUUAUUAUUCAUACUGAACCUUGUUUCAUCGAAAUUUGUCCAGCGUAACACUACCGUGUAACUUAAGUGUAACCAAACGCAUCAAGAUCUGUGAAGAAAAUCUGCCUGCCUUAAUAUUUGUAAGACUUUUCAAUCAUCAACAACAUCUCACUAGGUACUCAAGAUAAUCAGUUUGCUGAGAAAUAUCAACCUUGUUAUAUAAUUAACUCAUACUUGAAGACGGAAAACAGCGUCAAGGAGUAGGACAGGAAAUGGUCAUGGAGGCAUCCCCCUCGCCCCAAUCUGUCGGCCGCGAGUUCGUCCGACAAUACUAUACUUUGCUGAACAAGGCCCCGUCCCACCUGCAUAGGUUCUAUAAUAACCACUCGUCGUUUGUUCAUGGAGGGCUGGACGCUCCUAACAGAGAAAUAAAUCCAGCUAUUGGUCAGAAACAAAUCCAUCAAAAAAUCCAACAAUUGAAUUUUCGCGAUUGUCAUGCAAAGAUCAGUCAAGUUGACUCACAGGCUACACUUGGGAAUGGUGUUGUUGUUCAGGUGACAGGAGAGCUGUCUAAUGCAGGACAGCCGAUGCGUCGCUUCACACAAACGUUUGUUUUGGCUGCGCAAGCACCAAAAAAGUACUACGUUCAUAAUGACAUCUUUCGUUACCAAGACCUUGGCUUCCCUGAUGAGGAAGAAGGAGAAGUUGAAGGUGGUGAUGGGGGUAUAGGUGAAGGCGUUGGUGAACGGGAACCUGAAGAAGGUGUGCGUUCGGAACCAGAAGAGGAUGAACAACCCAAUCAAGGGCAUCAGUUGCCACCGGCAACUGCACCUCCAGAGCCACAAGGUCCACCUUCCCUUAUUCCAAGUCAACAACCACAGCUUCAACAGCAACAGCAACACGUAUACUACGCCCCGCCACCUCAGCAACCCGUGCAUCCGGUCAUGCAACAAGUGGCAAUUAAUGGUUCUGUUCAUGAUGAAUCACCUCUAAUCAAUCAGCAGCAGCAUGCCCAUACGUACAUUUCUGAACCUGCAACUCAGGAACAAUUUGUUCAGGAACCAGAGCCCGAAGUGGUUCCUGAACAACAGCCGCAGGUGAAAGAAGAACCUCAAAUUCCAGUUGAGGAGUCUCAGGAGCCGUUAGAUGCUGAACCGGAACAGCAUUCGAUUUCAGAUUCUCAACCGGAAGUCCCAGUGCCAACCCCAGCCACCAACAAUAGCGGACCUAAAACCUAUGCAAAUUUAGUCAAAUCUUUUGCCACCGCAACUGGUUCGGCUAGCCCACAAGCGCCUAAGGCAUCCAUGUCACCACCACCCAUCACACAUCAACGUCUUGAUGAUCGCAUUUCGGUACCUGCUGUGAACGCUGGAUCUAUUCUCACCACCCCUUCGAACGUCAGUUCCAAUCAACAGCAGGUUCAUAGAGGUGUUGGAGGAAACCAACAACAACAAUCACAACAGCAACCACAACAACAGCAACCACAACAGCAACCACAACAACAGCAGCAACAACAACCACAACAACAGCAACAACAACAACAACAACAACAACAACAACGGCCUCCACGAGGAGGACCUGUGCAACGAGGUAUGGGCAGGGGACCAUCCCGCCCCCCCUUCUCUGAUGACAACGGCUGGGAUGGUGAACGUCGUGGGGGCCGGCAAGUCCAGUACGGCGAUUCUCAUCAAUUAUUUUUGGGUAAUCUUCCACUGGAUGCUUCAGAAGAUCAAUUGCGUCAAUUAUUCGAGCAAUACGGUCCAGUAGCUGAUCUACGUGUUCACAGCAAACAAAACGAAAGAGGAAAAACCCCCCAUGGCACAUCCAAUACUAGCAGAGUUCCCAACUACGGAUUUAUUACGUUUGAGGAUCACCAGUCCGUCGUAAACGUUCUGCAAAGUUUGCCAAUCCAUUUCCCUGAUGAAAAUCGUACGAAGUUGAAUGUGGAGGAAAAGAAAGUUAGGCCAAGGAUGUCAAUGGAAGGGGGAGGUGGGAGGCCGUCUACCGGAGAUGGUUCAGUACGCCCAAUGGGCGGCCAACAGCAACGUGGGCCAGGGGGUCCAGGUGGUGUGAUAAGAGGUAGUGGACAGCCACGCGUCGGUCGUGGAAGCUUUUCACGCGGAGGAGAUGGUGGCCGAGGGGGUGGUAUGAGACAACCAGGCAAUCACAACUAUCAGAAUCGUCGUUAAAUGUUCUGAACGCUGUAAGUUGCAUCCUGCCCAACUUCGGUGUUACACUCAACAUAAGUAUCCAGUGUGUUUUAGACUGUUGCUCGCAAAGAAGGGAUCCAGGCAGGGAUGCGGAUUGACAAACAACUCGUUAAACGGAUACUAUAAAGAAAUGGUAAAUGACGACAAGUUUCUGCAAUUUUAAGGCUGAGAGUGAAUUAAGAAAACAAAGUUCUCCAUUGUUUCUUUAAAUUAAUCGUCCAUACGGACCGAUUUUACUAUAAGAUUACCAGAAAUACCAUUAGUAUGCGUAUAACUGUAAUGAAAACGGCAUGAUACAGUGAAUGAUUAAUUAUAGAAAUUGAUAUCAAUAAUAAUUAUCAAACAUACAAUCUAGUGAAUAUCGCACUAAAUUGUGAAUAGUAAUUUCAUUGUAGAAUAUUACUAAUAUUUUCAAAGUACAUAUUUGUACGUACUGAAAGUUUAAGUAAAUCCUCAAUAAUUCAUGGUACUGCGCAAUAAGUACGCUUCUGUUACUUUAUUAUUUAGGUGUACACAUAAAGACAGCGUCCUCAACAGUAUAAGUGAGAAACAUAGAUGAUGAUCUAUUGUAUUUGCAUCAUAGGUCAACUGCACCAACACUCUGUCAAGAUUAUAAUCAUUGAAUGUGAAUACUACUCGAAAGCUAAAAUUGAAUAAACGUAUUUCGUUUUUAAUCAAAGAUCGCGGCCUAACCGACAUUGACAAGCCUUCGGCUAUUGAGCAUCAUAAUGCAAACAAUAACGGUAGUUUUCUGUAGCAGAGGCUGAAAAAAUGAGCAUCGAAUUAUCUGUCUAAAACUGAACUCGUCUGUUUAAUUAACAGAAUUCUUCCAAUUUGUUACCCUGAAUUCGAUCUUUACUGAGAAUAAGGUUCACUUUUACAUGUGCAUUUACUUUUUCAUGUAUACAAUAUUUGAUUCGGUGAGAUUCAUUUGACACAUUCAUUUUCUGGAAUUGUUUUAUCUAAAAAACAAAAUAUGUAGUUGUCAGUCGAUGAAUUAUUUUUGUUUUUUGGAUAUAGUUAAUUUUUACUUCAGCCAAAUAAAUAUUUAUUUGAUUUCAUUAGUUUGUUUAGCUAAAGAGCAAAAUUUAGUCGAUUUGACACGCAAAGGUGAUAAUUAAUUAAUAGAUGUUGACACAAUAUUUCGUAAUUUAAUCGACACAAUCAAUCUGUUGGAUUAAUAAAAAAUUACUUAAAACUAAAAAAUUAAUAAAAAAAACAGUAUUUGAUUCAAUUCACGUGCAAUUGGAUCAAGUAAAUACAUACAAUUUAAUUCACUUCUCAGUGUACAUGUUGUGCUUCAAUGGUGGACUGAUAACCCAGUUUCGUGUAACCCGCCUGUCAAUAACUAUAAUAUACAUGCUCGGAACUUGAAACAUUUUCGUAAUUCAUUUUUUAGUAUUUCUAUCGUAAAAGAAAUCUAUAAUAAUUACAUAGUACAGUUCAAAUUCCGACAAUUUCUAUUUAGAACUGGUUACGCGAAACUGUUAUACCUCGGCACAAUAAGUACGUUUACAAAUUUAUUAUUCUUAUUAUUAUUAUUAUGAUAUUUUUAUUUUUCUUAUAUAUAUUUUUUUUUUUUUUGUGUCAUCAAAGUAUAUAGUAAAAUUGAUAUUAACUGUAGUAGUUACUCGAUAAUUGUAAACCGAUUUGUACAUUACGCUAAACAAGCUUACGUGAAAAUUAUUCGCGUUAUUAUAACGGAUACGUGAAAUGUUUUUUAUAUAGGGGAUGAAAGAAACUAGAUUAUUUUGCUGUAUAGAAAAAGUGAUACGAGGGUGUAAUUUGUAUUUUCAUUCACGGACAAUCGGGGUGUCGACAUUUUAAUCAAUCGUUAAACACCGUAGUGCGGGUGAGCUUGUUUACCACAAAUAACAAACCAGGUGUUUCGUUAAAGAAAGUGUCUGGAUUUGCUACCCUGGUGAGCGGUCUUAUCAAUGAUCUUAAAUUGAACCACUGUUACAUAAAAGCACCUGUGCGUAUCACCUAUUUGCAAAUUUUUAGUAUGAAUGUUUUUUUUCACAAUAGGUAAUUAUUAAAAAUAAACAAAAACAAAUUAACAAAUAUGAUAGUUAUAAAUAUUAAUAGAGGAUGGUGUAAUUAAGUUGUGAAUUUUUUGAAGCAUACAUUUUUAUUUUUGGCAUCUUUGGGUCAGUUUGUGUGUACAACCGUGGAAAUGUUACUGCGAUAACAAAAGAAAACUUGAGAUGAUGAAAAAAAAAGACGUGUUUAAACAAACAUGACACGUAUUAUAACUUUUUGCAUUUAGUAUAAUAUACCUUGCUACCAACUAAUAAUACUUCAUUUGUAUAUUGUUACUUAAGUAAGGAAAAUUGAUGAAUAAGGCAGACGAAUUGGAACACAAUCGCUGAAUUUUAUGGUGAUAUAUUGGAAAAUUGUUCAAAAAAUUGAAUACAUGCCGCCAACGACUGUUUGAUGUCUACCUUAAUAAUCUACCCUACAUACUACGUAUGCGUAUAGGUAUGUAAAUAAUUUUUUUUAUUCCUGAAUACAAUAUGUACGCGAAAUCACUGCCGUGAUGACAAUAUUCAGAUUUAUGGUACUCUUUCUGACGUUUUCUUAGUCUGGGCCUUACGAAAAUUAUUCUACAUGAUUAUCAUUUCUGAGUCUGCAUAGAAUUGUACAAUAAUAGUUGUGUGGUAAUCGUUUUCCAUGGGCACAAUAUCCACUUGUAACUAGUGAAUAAUAAUAGGUGAAAAAUUGAGAAAUCCUGCGCAGUUUUUUUCCGUAUAGGAUGUUAAUAUUAAACAGUAUCACAUAGGUAUUGAAAAAAUGAUUAUAAAUUUUUUAGUGUUGCAAAGCCUCCUAGACUCACUGUGAUAUCAUCUAAUUACAUGAUGGAAUAAAUAUUAAUUGAAUGAA